RNAcentral lists this unclassified non-coding RNA (1594 nucleotides) under uncultured fungus. RNAcentral's name for it is "sequence contains 18S rRNA gene, ITS1, 5.8S rRNA gene, ITS2, 28S rRNA gene". The stretch from base 508 to 1594 matches the Rfam family "Eukaryotic large subunit ribosomal RNA", at positions 1 to 961 of the family's 3401-position model. Lineage: Eukaryota; Fungi. The record is from RNAcentral.
GGAAGGAUCAUUAACACUUGGGUUUCGUGCCCGUUUUCCAAACCACAUGUUAACAAAUUUGAAUUUGUGUUUGGUCUGUUGCUGUGUGUGUGUGCGUGUGAAAUAUAACUCACACACGAAGCCUGACUAUUUCAAACUAAAAAUUAAACUCGAAACUAAAUAAAAAUUAUACAACCAAAUAUACAACUCUUAGCAAUGGAUAUCUUGGUUCCCACAACGAUGAAGAACGCAGCGAAAUGCGAUACGUAAUGCGAAUUGCAGAAUUCAGUGAAUCAUCAAAUCUUUGAACGCAAGUUGCACCUUUGGGUAUCCCUGAAGGUAUGCCUCUUUGAGUAUCGGUUUCUAACUUUGAAUUAAGUUUCAAGAGACUGAGUUUUUCUCGGCUGCAAAGCUGUGAAUCUCUUCAAGUUGAGUGAGCGUUCAAUGCUACGACGACACGCAACACACCUUUUCGACAAACGAGGUGCGGUUGGGUCGCCUGGCGCCGAACGCAACAUCCAAACAACAAGAUCUCAAAUGAGGUAAGACUACCCGCUGAAUUUAAGCAUAUAAUUAAGCGGAGGAAAAGAAACUAACAAGGAUUCCCUCAGUAACGGCGAGUGAAGCGGGAAGAGUUCAAACCUAAAAUCUCUGGCUUGCCAGCGAAUUGUGGUCUAUUGAAGCGUGUCUCAGUGUACAGACCCGGCCUAAAUCGAUUGGAACAUCGUAUCAGAGAGGGUGAGAAUCCCGUCUUUGGCUGGGAGCCUGUCGCGUUCGAGCCGUUUUCGAAGAGUCGGGUUGCUUGGGAGUGCAGCCCUAAGUGGGUGGUAAAUUUCAUCUAAAACUAAAUAUCUGUGGGAGACCGAUAGCGAACAAGUACCGUGAGGGAAAGAUGAAAAGAACUUUGAAAAGAGAGUCAAAAAGUACUUGAAAUUGCUGAGAACGAAGGGAUGGCGACUAGUAUUGGGCGAGGCGACAUCACGGUUGGCCCAGGGUCGUGCGUUUGGAUUGCUUACGCUUCCAGUCGUUCGAUUUCGAAGUUGAUCGUGGAUCCUGUCGUCUUGUCUUAGGUCAGAAUGGAUUUGCUUCGGUUGAAAAUGACAGCGGGAAGGUACCUUGCUUGCAAGAACUUAUAGCCCGUUGUCACGAGACUGUCGCGGAUUGAGGUGCUGAAGCACGCGCUUAGCUUUGUUGUGUUUUCCGCUGUUGAGUUGUCGCCGUUGGGGAACAAAGUUCCGUCUCGGUUGGCAGCUUGCACUCGGGAUGUCACUCAUAUGCGUGCUCGGGAUUCUGACGAAAUGGUCGUCAUUCGCCCGUCUUGAAACACGGACCAAGGAGUCUUACAUAUAUGCGAGUAAUCAAGUGGAAAACUUGCUUGCGGAAUGAAAGUAAUUGAAUGUGAUGGCGUUCGCGUCAGCAACAUCGGGCGGCUAAAAUAACUGUACGACCAUGAGCAUAUCUGUAGGGACCCGAAAGAUGGUGAACUAUGCUUGAGCAGGAUGAAGCCAGGGGAAACUCUGGUGGAAGUCCGAAGCGAUACUGACGUGCAAAUCGUUCGUCUGACUUGAGUAUAGGGGCGAAAGACUAAUCGAACUAUCUAGUAGCUGGUUCCCUC